AUGGCAGUAAUGGAUGAGCAAACGUUCGGCGAAGCUUUGGAGCUUGAUAGUGCAAGAAACCGAGAUUCGGGCGUAAAUUGGAAAGUUCGAGGUUAUGGACUAAAAUGACGUAAUUAGCCAAAAUCGCAUUUGAGUGUUUUCAGG
Gossypium arboreum is the source of this 144-nucleotide long non-coding RNA. RefSeq lists it as uncharacterized. The transcript has 3 exons. The record is from RefSeq and is a predicted model, not a curated record. Lineage: Eukaryota; Viridiplantae; Streptophyta; Magnoliopsida; Malvales; Malvaceae.